This 3462-nucleotide long non-coding RNA is filed under the name Homo sapiens (human). RNAcentral's name for it is "HSALNT0361982". The record is from RNAcentral. Lineage: Eukaryota; Metazoa; Chordata; Mammalia; Primates; Hominidae.
CUGGGCAACAGAGUGAAGCCCUGGCUCAAAAAAAUAAAAGCUCUACAAGGUCCUUCUCACUGCACUAGUUCUUGAUUGGGGAUAUUUGUUAUGCUACGAUAUAAUCUGACCCUCCCCAGCUGUGCUUUCUGAAAUACACCCCACAGCCUCUUGCUGAAGGACACUUUAACUUGGCAGGACUGUAUUGAAAGUGAUAUUGAACAGAUGCUGUGUCUGAAAUGGAAUCCAUACCCCAGGAAGCUGACACCAGGAGUGGUGUGGGUGAGAUGACCUGGCCCUGUUAUUGAAAUGCUUCUCUCAGGAAGUGGUGACCAUUUAGUUGACAUCUAAAGAAGCAUUUGGAAUUUACCAGAUGCAGAAGGGAGGAGAGUCCCACGAAGAAAGAAGAACAACAUAUGCAGAGGUCUUGGAGCAGGAACGAGCAUGGCCAUUCAGAGAAACUGCGCUGAUGCCUCUGUGGCUGGAGCUCCAGCUGGAGGGUGCCAUGAUGCCUUAUGAAAUGAAACUAUGAAGCAGCAUGACAACGGACUAAUAUAGGCAUCAUCACUGAACAUAGUAUCUGGAUCAAGGAUGGCAAAUACCAGGUACGUGCACUUCUAUUUCUUCAUUCAGUGGAUAGAAUAGAUGUCAUUCAUCAAAGCUGAUAUUCUUUCCCACCAACAGGUGUGAUCUUAGAAUUUUUCCUAACCCAGCACUCCAGAUACCAAUAUCAGUUAAUAUACAUGGUAUAUCUCAAAUCUAAAUGAUUCUAAGUUGUGGAGGAAUUUUCUCAAGGCCUUUUAGUUUUUGUUUUGUUUUAGUUUGUUUUAGUUUCAGGUGACUAAUAACAUAUUUUAAGUUAUGUAAAACCUCCUGACCCCAGUAAGGGAUGAUAAGUAUAGAUUAUUAUAGAAUUGUAUGGGUGAGUAAAGCAAUUUCUCCAGUGAUCACAGUACACCUGCUCUUCUGUGAUGCCUCCUACAAAAGCCAUGCUGUAGGCAACAAUGCCGCCUAAACCUUAUUCAUUAUUGGAUCUGGUAGAUAUCAAAGCCUCCUAGGCAAUUGACUCGAAUACUAUUUUUUUUCUGAAAAUGAUAGAUUGCUUAGGAAAAGCUCAAAUUUGUGUGUGUGUGUGUGUGUGUGUGUGUGUGAGAGAGAGAGAGAGAGAGAGAGAGAGAGAGAGAGACUUCAUCUGAAUUCUAUUAAGGUGUUAUGUCAUCAACUUUUCUAGAAGCCAAAAAUAGCCUAGGAUUCAUUUUUGAAUUUUGGUGGCCUAGAUCAAGAAUUGUACAGGGAGCUUCCACUGACUGCAGUCACUUAUUGAUAUGUAGGCCUGGACCAUUGGUUCUCAACCAGGGGCAAUUUUGUUCCCAAACCUCUCCUAAGGGAUAUUGUCAAUAUCUGGAGACAUUUUUGGUUGUCAAAACUGGGAAGGGAGGUGCCACUAGCACUAGUGGGUAGAGGCCAGGGACGCUUCUGAACACCCUGCACUGUACAGGACACAUCCUACAGUACAGUCAUCCAGCCUCAAAUGUCAAUAGUACAGUUUUUGAGAAAUUCUGAUUUAGAGAAUUGCUCUAGAAUGUUAGCUCACUGAGGUUGGGGAUCUGAUUUUCUUAGAGUCCAUAGCACAAUGCCUGGAAAAUAUUAAGUGCUUAUGAUUUCUUAAAUGAUUGAAUGGAAGAAUGGAUGAACAAUUCCAUUUUAGCAACUCAUGACAUUGCUUAGGAAAUAGAGUGAUUCUUACUUUAUCUUCAUAGCCUCUUUGUUUGACCAAUGAGCGUGACCACACUUAAAGCUAGUAAUGAUGAAGUUCCUAGUAUAUUGAAGAGGUAAAUAAAUACUCUUGCUUUGGCCCAAAAUAUCAAUGUUCAUUGUGGAAUUAAACAAUGACGAACUGAUGACUGAAAGAUCUAUGACAGUAUCUCUAUCAUUGGAAAUGUAAGACCUUCUCUUUAGGCCAUGUAUGGGUUCUCAUCAAUUUUUGGUUGUGAGGAUAAAUUAUUUUAAGAUGUAUUUUUCUCUCAUAUUGCUAAGUUAACUUUUGCUAUAUUAAUAAUAGUAACAACAAUAACAUAAAAAAGAUGGUCAAUCUUCCCAGUCCGUGUGGUGGAGUUGAGUCUUUGACAAAACUAUUUCCAAUUAUUUAUUAUUCAAAAUGUUAUCAAGACAGCUAAAAGAACUUGAGUAUAUAAAGCUCAAGAUACUGUCAUAAGGUCUUUAGGAUUUAAAACAUAUAUUAUGAAUCUCUGUAUUUCCAGGACUCUGCUCUGUUACAGGUGAAUUUUGUCUUAAAACUCAACUUGGGCAUAGUUGGACAUGAAUCUGUCAGGGUUUCUUUGAAAGCUAUCUCUUAGGUCUGAUCCUGUGACUUCUGUCAGUCACUGGGUAAAAACAAAGUUAAAAAAAAAAAGAAAACCUCAUGCAGGAGGAAAGAGAAUUGACAUUUGUCAAGCAACAGCAUGAUACCAGGUCUUAAAAAUAUACCUUUUUCUCAAUUAAUCCUCAUAACUAAUACAUGAAUAUGUAUUAUGUCUUUGUGUGUUUUACAGAUGUGGAGGCUGUUACUCACAGAGGUUAAUAACCUCCACCAGGAUCACUCAGAUAUAAGUGGCAGAGUUUACAUAGAACCCAGGCUUUAUUCUUAGGCUCAGCGUGAUGCCCCUAGUAACCUCAGGAUGACAUUUUCUCGGCACCCAGCCUCAGGAAAGAGAGAUUCCACUUCUCCAAUGGGUCAAACAACAGUCGUAGAACUGAGCCUUAUGGACAUCGUCUGUCUAACUUAGACCACUGUCCUUCUUGGAGCCAAUCACUGUGACUGGUGAAAUGAGUAUGCCUGAUUUUGACAAGGUUUACCAUUGGCUGGAUCAAAAAGGAAGCCAGAGGGUGAGAGUGCCUGUUAAUAUAAUCUACCAAGGUCAGAUGUAGGAGGAUGGACCAUGGAUCUGGUGGGUCAAGUGAAAGAAUUCCAGUGCAACGUACCUGGCAACUAGAAAUCACUUGUGUUCUUCAGCACUGAGAUGAGGAAAUUGAGAUUCACUGAAGGAGAAAGAUUACACUUCUUUCACUUUGGCCUGAGCUAAGAAAAAUGUGCUUCUGUUUAUUCCCCCAAGAUGACAACUUAAGUCUUUGAGUCUAUCAGUUCCAGGCAAGGGUCAAGCUCCACAGGACCAGCCAUCAGGGAAAUAACAUGACUUGUUAUUUCCAGACUACGUUCAGAACAGCUGGUCAUGCUCCCUCUCUCGGACAAUAGAACUUGAAUGAGUCUAAAGAGGCCCAGAGCUUCAAAACAAAAAGUUUACCUGUAGGAGUGAAGUUUAAGUCUCUAAGAAUAUGCCCUUCAGCCUUCUUACCUUGACUUCUGGAACUUUAUUGGUGAAAAAAAACUACGGCAUGACUCGUAAGUACAAGAUAAUUUGGUUUAAAAGCACAUUUUUAUGUAUUAUGUGCAUAGGAUAUAUCAAAUGUUUUACCCUCCAAAUU